GAUGGCAUAACAUUUGCAAUAGUAGACAAACCAAGGUAUUGCAAAUGGGGUAUGUCCGGUCUUUUUUAGAAGCCACUGGGUCACAAACACUGGCCAAAGUUAUUGUUAAUAUUUGAUUGUGUGUGAAAAAUGCAAAAAAAUCUGAAUGCCAAUUUUGACCAGUGUUUGUGACUAAGUUGCUACUAAGAAAGACUCGACAUGCCCCUUUUGAAAUACCUUGGGUUGACUACUAUUGCAAAUGGUAUGCCAUC
Pelobates cultripes (western spadefoot toad) is the source of this 251-nucleotide non-coding RNA. NCBI's taxonomy places the organism in Eukaryota, Metazoa, Chordata, Amphibia, Anura, Pelobatidae. The record is from the annotation of a GenBank genome assembly.